AACGGUAACAGGAAGCAGCUUGCUGCUUCGCUGACGAGUGGCGGACGGGUGAGUAAUGUCCGGGGAAACUGCCUGAUGGAGGGGGAUAACUACUGGAAACGGUAGCUAAUACCGCAUAACGUCGCAAGACCAAAGAGGGGGACCUUCGGGCCUCUUGCCAUCGGAUGUGCCCAGAUGGGAUUAGCUAGUAGGUGGGGUAACGGCUCACCUAGGCGACGAUCCCUAGCUGGUCUGAGAGGAUGACCAGCCACACUGGAACUGAGACACGGUCCAGACUCCUACGGGAGGCAGCAGUGGGGAAUAUUGCACAAUGGGCGCAAGCCUGAUGCAGCCAUGCCGCGUGUAUGAAGAAGGCCUUCGGGUUGUAAAGUACUUUCAGCGGGGAGGAAGGGAGUAAAGUUAAUACCUUUGCUCAUUGACGUUACCCGCAGAAGAAGCACCGGCUAACUCCGUGCCAGCAGCCGCGGUAAUACGGAGGGUGCAAGCGUUAAUCGGAAUUACUGGGCGUAAAGCGCACGCAGGCGGUUUGUUAAGUCAGAUGUGAAAUCCCCGGGCUCAACCUGGGAACUGCAUCUGAUACUGGCAAGCUUGAGUCUCGUAGAGGGGGGUAGAUUCCGGGUGUAG
Molecule: ribosomal RNA, 624 nt
Filed under: uncultured Pseudomonadota bacterium
Lineage: Bacteria; Pseudomonadati; Pseudomonadota
Description: bacterial SSU rRNA
Rfam family: Bacterial small subunit ribosomal RNA
Source: RNAcentral